Molecule: non-coding RNA, 71 nt
Organism: Zootermopsis nevadensis
Lineage: Eukaryota; Metazoa; Arthropoda; Insecta; Blattodea; Termopsidae
Source: Rfam
UCCUCAUCGCCUGAUACUUGCUUCAACCUGAGCUUUUGACAAGGUGAGCAAAGUUUCAGGUGUGUGGGUGG